GAUGAAGAACGUAGCGAAAUGCGAUAAGUAAUGUGAAUUGCAGAAUUCAGUGAAUCAUCGAAUCUUUGAACGCACAUUGCGCCCGCUAGUAUUCUGGCGGGCAUGCCUGUUCGAGCGUCAUUUCAACCAUCAAGCCCCAGGCUUGUGUUGGGGACCUGCGGCUGCCGCAGGCCCUGAAAACCAGUGGCGGGCUCGCUGUCACACCGGGCGUAGUAGAUUUUAUCUCGCUCAGGGCGUGCUGCGGGUUCCGGCCGUUAAAAAGCCUUUUUUACCCAAGGUUGACCUCGGAUCAGGUAGGAAGACCCGCUGAACUUAAGCAUAUCAAUAAGCGGAGGA
This 336-nucleotide unclassified non-coding RNA is filed under the name soil metagenome. RNAcentral describes it as "partial contains 5.8S ribosomal RNA, internal transcribed spacer 2, and large subunit ribosomal RNA". The stretch from base 1 to 120 matches the Rfam family "5.8S ribosomal RNA", at positions 35 to 154 of the family's 154-position model. The record is from RNAcentral.